CAAGCACAUUGAUUACUAGAUCAUGAUGCCCCCCAGCUAGAAUAGUUUGACUUCUUAUCUGGGGUCUAUCAGGCACCGCUGCAGGGCUUAACUCACUGAAUGAGAACAAUCAUCUGAGCCUUUAAUCGUAUGGGUUAGCGCUGCUCCUAAGCAAUGUGUAGUGGUUAUGGUGUUUUGAUUGUUCCUUUACGAGUGACCAGCUAGAAAUGUCUGAAUGUUAAUUGCAUUAGGAAGUUUAACAGUACUGUACAGUUUAUUUUUAAUAAAAGUUGGAGAUAAUU
This is a non-coding RNA of Pelobates cultripes (western spadefoot toad), 281 nucleotides long. Lineage: Eukaryota; Metazoa; Chordata; Amphibia; Anura; Pelobatidae. The record is from the annotation of a GenBank genome assembly.